GAUGAAGAACGUAGUGAAAUGCGAUACGUAAUGUGAAUUGCAAAUUCAGUGAAUCAUCGAGUCUUUGAACGCACAUUGCGCCCCCUGGCAUUCCGGGGGGCAUGCCUGUCCGAGCGUCAUUGCUGCCCUUCAAGCCCGGCUUGUGUGUUGGGUCGUCGUCCCCCCCGGGGGACGGGCCCGAAAGGCAGCGGCGGCACCGCGUCCGGUCCUCGAGCGUAUGGGGCUUUGUCACCCGCUCGAUUAGGGCCGGCCGGGCGCCAGCCGGCGUCUCCAACCUUCUAUUUUACCAGGUUGACCUCGGAUCAGGUAGGGAUACCCGCUGAACUUAAGCAUAUCAAUAAGCGGAGGA
RNAcentral lists this unclassified non-coding RNA (349 nucleotides) under soil metagenome. RNAcentral's name for it is "partial contains 5.8S ribosomal RNA, internal transcribed spacer 2, and large subunit ribosomal RNA". The stretch from base 1 to 119 matches the Rfam family "5.8S ribosomal RNA", at positions 35 to 154 of the family's 154-position model. The record is from RNAcentral.